AACGAACGCUGGCGGCAUGCCUAACACAUGCAAGUCGAACGAGCCCUUCGGGUCUAGUGGCGCACGGGUGCGUAACGCGUGGGAACCUGCCCUUAGGUUCGGAAUAACUCCCCGAAAGGGGUGCUAAUACCGGAUAUUGUCUUCGGACCAAAGAUUUAUCGCCAUUGGAUGGGCCCGCGUUGGAUUAGCUAGUUGGUAGGGUAACAGCCUACCAAGGCGACGAUCAAUAGCUGGUCUGAGAGGAUGAUCAGCCACACUGGGACUGAGACACGGCCCAGACUCCUACGGGAGGCAGCAGUGGGGAAUAUUGGGCAAUGGGCGAAAGCCUGACCCAGCAAUGCCGCGUGAGUGAUGAAGGCCUUAGGGUUGUAAAGCUCUUUUACCCGGGAUGAUAAUGACAGUACCGGGAGAAUAAGCUCCGGCUAACUCCGUG
Molecule: ribosomal RNA, 433 nt
Filed under: uncultured bacterium
Lineage: Bacteria
Description: partial 16S ribosomal RNA
Rfam family: Bacterial small subunit ribosomal RNA
Source: RNAcentral